GGCGGCAGGCUUAACACAUGCAAGUCGAGCGGGGAAGGGUAGCUUGCUACCUAACCUAGCGGCGGACGGGUGAGUAAUGCUUAGGAAUCUGCCAUUUAGUGGGGGACAACAUUCCGAAAGGAAUGCUAAUACCGCAUACGUCCUACGGGAGAAAGCAGGGGAUCUUCGGACCUUGCGCUAAAUGAUGAGCCUAAGUCGGAUUAGCUAGUUGGUGGGGUAAAGGCCUACCAAGGCGACGAUCUGUAGCGGGUCUGAGAGGAUGAUCCGCCACACUGGGACUGAGACACGGCCCAGACUCCUACGGGAGGCAGCAGUGGGGAAUAUUGGACAAUGGGCGGAAGCCUGAUCCAGCCAUGCCGCGUGUGUGAAGAAGGCCUUAUGGUUGUAAAGCACUUUAAGCGAGGAGGAGGCUACCUAGAUUAAUACUCUAGGAUAGUGGACGUUACUCGCACAAUAAGCACCGGCUAACUCUGUGCCAGCAGCCGCGGUAAUACAGAGGGUGCGAGCGUUAAUC
Molecule: ribosomal RNA, 514 nt
Filed under: Acinetobacter sp. 327(2010)
Lineage: Bacteria; Pseudomonadati; Pseudomonadota; Gammaproteobacteria; Moraxellales; Moraxellaceae
Description: bacterial SSU rRNA
Rfam family: Bacterial small subunit ribosomal RNA
Source: RNAcentral